CAGCAGGGCACGCAAAGGCCGGUGGGCCAGCUUAAAGACCAAAGGAUGGCCGGGCCCCGCCCAUGGCGUCACAACAGUUACAAGCCCCGCCCCCGCCUCGGGACACAUGGGCCUCUUGGUGACAAGCUGGGUUUACCUUUUAUCUCUAGAGCAAACUGCGGCAGUGAGAAAAUGAAAGAACAGAGGUCCGGACCACGUGCCGAGAAGCUGGAGUCAGGUGGGCUGUGUGAACUCUGAUGGAGGCCCCCCGACUACCAUCCCAGAGACCUCCGAAUGUUUAUUAGGGGAACCAUUUGCGUGAAGAGAGAAGAUGCCUGAAAACAGCCAUGACCAGCUCUCUCCCAGGACAGCUGUUUCCCUAGAAGGUGUAUGAGGAAGAUGAUGACAGGGAGGUUCCAGCAGAGCUCAGCUGCGCAGACCCAUGUCCUGGCCUCUGUCUUUCAGCAGACGUGGUCAAUGUAAACACCAGGAGACGAACACCCCGGCUUGUCCUCAAGGCUAAGCUAAAUCUUUCCCCCCAGUCUCCUUCCUGUAUAGACCAGCUGGUGAGAAGCCAAUUUCCAACUUAGGUUAACAGCUCAGUAGACUAGCUCUCCAUCUAGCUGGGGAUAAGAGUUUUUUAGUAGCUGUUCUAAUUCUCAAGGCCCCUUCCCCAUUACUUAGCAACCAGACC
Molecule: long non-coding RNA, 673 nt
Organism: Mastomys coucha (southern multimammate mouse)
Lineage: Eukaryota; Metazoa; Chordata; Mammalia; Rodentia; Muridae
Exons: 4
Source: RefSeq, a predicted model, not a curated record